GGACUGGUAGCUGAGACGCCGGGCUUGCCCCUCUUGGCUAACGCGGGCGGCGGUCUGAAGAACCGCAUACGAGGAUUCGAGCGCCUCCCAGUCCA
This 95-nucleotide transfer RNA is filed under the name Pirellulaceae bacterium. Its description in RNAcentral is "tRNA-Phe". RNAcentral also lists the same sequence under 1 other name. Lineage: Bacteria; Pseudomonadati; Planctomycetota; Planctomycetia; Pirellulales; Pirellulaceae. The record is from RNAcentral.